RNAcentral lists this ribosomal RNA (385 nucleotides) under uncultured bacterium. RNAcentral describes it as "bacterial SSU rRNA". It matches the Rfam family "Bacterial small subunit ribosomal RNA", at positions 30 to 416 of the family's 1533-position model. The record is from RNAcentral.
AUUGAACGCUGGCGGCAUGCCUUACACAUGCAAGUCGAACGGCAGCGCGGGCUUCGGCCUGGCGGCGAGUGGCGAACGGGUGAGUAAUGCAUCGGAACGUGCCCAAGAGUGGGGGAUAACUAGUCGAAAGAUUAGCUAAUACCGCAUACGAUCUACGGAUGAAAGUGGGGGACCGCAAGGCCUCAUGCUCCUGGAGCGGCCGAUGUCUGAUUAGCUAGUUGGUGGGGUAAAGCCUACCAAGGCGACGAUCAGUAGCUGGUCUGAGAGGACGACCAGCCACACUGGGACUGAGACACGGCCCAGACUCCUACGGGAGGCAGCAGUGGGGAAUUUUGGACAAUGGGGGCAACCCUGAUCCAGCAAUGCCGCGUGUGUGAAGAAGGCC